RNAcentral lists this ribosomal RNA (348 nucleotides) under uncultured bacterium. RNAcentral describes it as "bacterial SSU rRNA". It matches the Rfam family "Bacterial small subunit ribosomal RNA", at positions 8 to 349 of the family's 1533-position model. The record is from RNAcentral.
AGAGUUUGAUCAUGGCUCAGGACGAACGCUGGCGGCGCGCCUAACACAUGCAAGUCGAACGGAGCUGAGAGGGAGCGUGACGUUUCUUAGCUUAGUGGCGAACGGGUGAGUAACGCGUGAGUAACCUGCCCUGGAGUGGGGGACAACAGUUGGAAACGACUGCUAAUACCGCAUAAGCCCACGGCCCGGCAUCGGGCUGAGGGAAAAGGAUUAUUCGCUUCAGGAUGGACUCGCGUCCAAUUAGCUAGUUGGUGAGGUAACGGCCACCAAGGCGACGAUUGGUAGCCGGACUGAGAGGUUGAACGGCCACAUUGGGACUGAGACACGGCCCAGACUCCUACGGGAGCA